This is a long non-coding RNA of Oncorhynchus keta (chum salmon), 543 nucleotides long. RefSeq lists it as uncharacterized. Lineage: Eukaryota; Metazoa; Chordata; Actinopteri; Salmoniformes; Salmonidae. The transcript has 3 exons. The record is from RefSeq and is a predicted model, not a curated record.
GGUUAAAUAAAGGUGUUCUCAACUGGCCUACCUGGUUAAAUAAAGGUGUUCUCAACUGGCCUACCUGGUUAAAUAAAGGUGUUCUCAACUGGCCUCCCUGGUUAAAUAAAGGUGUUCUCAACUGGCCUACCUGGUUAAAUAAAGGUGUUCUCAACUGGCCUACCUGGUUAAAUAAAGGUGUUCUCAACUGGCCUCCCUGGUUAAAUAAAGGUGUUCUCAACUGGCCUCCCUGGUUAAAUAAAGGUGUUCUCAACUGGCCUACCUGGUUAAAUAAAGGUGUUCUCAACUGGCCUACCUGGUUAAAUAAAGGUGUUCUCAACUGGCCUCCCUGGUUAAAUAAAGGUGUUCUCAACUGGCCUACCUGGUUAAAUAAAGGUGUUCUCAACUGGCCUACCUGGUUAAAUAAAGGUGUUCUCAACUGGCCUCCCUGGUUAAAUAAAGGUGUUCUCAACUGGCCUCCCUGGUUAAAUAAAGGUGUUCUCAACUAGCCGACCUGGUUAAAUAAAGGUGUUCUCAACUGGCCUACCUGGUUAAAUAAAGGUG